AACGAACGCUGGCGGCAUGCCUAACACAUGCAAGUCGAACGAGACCUUCGGGUCUAGUGGCGCACGGGUGCGUAACGCGUGGGAACCUGCCCUUAGGUUCGGAAUAACUCAGAGAAAUUUGAGCUAAUACCGGAUAAUGUCUUCGCACCAAAGAUUUCUCGCCUUUGGAUGGGCCCGCGUAGGAUUAGCUUGUUGGUGGGGUAAUGGCCUACCAUGGCGACGAUCCUUAGCUGGUCUGAGAGGAUGAUCAGCCACACUGGGACUGAGACACGGCCCAGACUCCUACGGGAGGCAGCAGUGGGGAAUAUUGGACAAGGGGCGAAAGUCUGAUCCAGCAAUGCCGCGUGAGUGAUGAAGGCCUUAGGGUUGUAAAGCUCUUUUACCAGGGAUGAUAAUGACAGUACCUGGAGAAUAAGCUCCGGCUAACUCCGUG
This 433-nucleotide ribosomal RNA is filed under the name uncultured bacterium. Its description in RNAcentral is "partial 16S ribosomal RNA". It matches the Rfam family "Bacterial small subunit ribosomal RNA", at positions 29 to 507 of the family's 1533-position model. The record is from RNAcentral.